This 458-nucleotide unclassified non-coding RNA is filed under the name uncultured Clavulina. RNAcentral's name for it is "sequence contains ITS2". The stretch from base 1 to 154 matches the Rfam family "5.8S ribosomal RNA". The record is from RNAcentral. Lineage: Eukaryota; Fungi; Basidiomycota; Agaricomycetes; Cantharellales; Hydnaceae.
AACUUUUGACAACGGAUCUCUUGGCUCUCGCAUCGAUGAAGGACGCAGCGAAAUGCGAUAAGUAAUGUGAAUUGCAGAAUUCAGUGAAUCAUCGAAUUUUUGAACGCACCUUGCGCGCCCUGGUAUUCCGGGGAGCACGCCUGUUCGAGUGUCGCGAAAUUUCUCAAGCUUGGAUGGCUUUUUUGUCUGUCCUACGCGUGGGUUGUUGGGCUUUGCCGUGUCCUUCAGUGGGACGGCUGUCCUUAAAAACAUUGCCUGAGCCUCGUCGGGCACUGGUUCUUCUCAGCGUGAUAAUAGUCUGAUCGCUGAGGACAGCUUUUGGGAUGGCCAGUUCUCAUUUGGGUUGCUUCUACACUUGGUUUUGCAGAUUCUUUCAGUCUGUGUUCCACUUUUUCAGCUUUGACCUCGAAUCAGGUGGGACUACCCGCUGAACUUAAGCAUAUCAAUAAGCGGAGGCU